RNAcentral lists this ribosomal RNA (465 nucleotides) under Vreelandella stevensii. RNAcentral describes it as "partial 16S ribosomal RNA". It matches the Rfam family "Bacterial small subunit ribosomal RNA", at positions 338 to 795 of the family's 1533-position model. Lineage: Bacteria; Pseudomonadati; Pseudomonadota; Gammaproteobacteria; Oceanospirillales; Halomonadaceae. The record is from RNAcentral.
CCUACGGGGGGCAGCAGUGGGGAAUAUUGGACAAUGGGCGAAAGCCUGAUCCAGCCAUGCCGCGUGUGUGAAGAAGGCCUUCGGGUUGUAAAGCACUUUCAGUGGGGAAGAAAGCCUUGGGGCUAAUACCCUCGAGGAAGGACAUCACCCACAGAAGAAGCACCGGCUAACUCCGUGCCAGCAGCCGCGGUAAUACGGAGGGUGCGAGCGUUAAUCGGAAUUACUGGGCGUAAAGCGCGCGUAGGCGGUCUGAUAAGCCGGUUGUGAAAGCCCCGGGCUCAACCUGGGAACGGCAUCCGGAACUGUCAGGCUAGAGUGCAGGAGAGGAAGGUAGAAUUCCCGGUGUAGCGGUGAAAUGCGUAGAGAUCGGGAGGAAUACCAGUGGCGAAGGCGGCCUUCUGGACUGACACUGACGCUGAGGUGCGAAAACGUGGGUAGCAAACAGGAUUAGAUACCCCUGUAGUC